UACAGAGGUCCCAAGCGUUGUUCGGAUUCAUUGGGCGUAAAGGGUGCGUAGGCGGCGCGGUAAGUCGGGUGUGAAAUCUCGGAGCUUAACUCCGAAACUGCAUUCGAUACUGCCGUGCUUGAGGACUGGAGAGGAGACUGGAAUUUACGGUGUAGCGGUGAAGUGCGUAGAUAUCGUAAGGAAGACCAGUGGCGAAGGCGGGUCUCUGGACAGUUCCUGACGCUGAGGCACGAAGGUCAGGGGAGCAAACGGG
Molecule: ribosomal RNA, 253 nt
Filed under: uncultured bacterium
Lineage: Bacteria
Description: partial 16S ribosomal RNA
Rfam family: Bacterial small subunit ribosomal RNA
Source: RNAcentral